This is a long non-coding RNA of Heterocephalus glaber (naked mole-rat), 2274 nucleotides long. NCBI's taxonomy places the organism in Eukaryota, Metazoa, Chordata, Mammalia, Rodentia, Bathyergidae. The record is from Ensembl.
GUAUGUUAUAGAACAACCACAAGCAGCUAAGAGUGGUGGCCUUGAAUUUAAAGCCAGAAAUGUUGCUACACGCCUGAAGUCCCAGCUACUUGGGAGGCUGAGGCAGGAGUAUCACAAGUUCAAGGCCAUCCUGUGCAGCGUAACAAGACCUUGUCUCAAGAUAGGCAGAUACAUAGAUGGACAAACAGACUCAGGGAUAUAGCUCACCAUCUGCAUAACAUGGGCAAGGCCCUGGGUCCAAUCCCCAGCACUACACAAAUAAGGAAGGCCAGCUUAGGAUGAGUAAUGACAGUCUGUGCCCUGGCCCCUGGGGUCCCAGGCUGUGAGGAGAGACAAGGGCAGGUGUCCCCCGUGGGCUGGAUGUGGGCACAGAGAGCAGACCAGGGAAGGAGUCAGCCAGGAGGUGAGCGACCACCCUGUUCGCUGUGGACCCCAGCCCGGCGUGCAGAGGCCCCGAGUGCUGCCGCAGCAGGGCUGUGGAGCCAGGCGCUGUGCACGGUCAGUGAGACCCACCCUCCAGCUGGAUCUGAGAGGGGCCUCCGCCCAGAGCCUGCACGGGCUCUCCUUGGUGCUGACUGGGAGCCUGAGGCCCAGGCCCCUCCGGGACUGUAGCCACCGCAGCCCUUGGGAAGUGAAACUUCUCAGGGCCAGGGUUCUCAUUUGUCACCUGAGGGUGGCUUUCAGUGGCUCCCUGCUCUGAGCGGCAGAAGGUACACACCCCGAAACUGGCCCCUGGGGAUUCCCGGCACACGCGCAGCGCGCCUGACCUCACCGCCCUUUUCAGGGACCCAAGGGGAGGCAGCCCGGGUUUUGGCAGCAGCAUGGCCAGGAAAGACUUGUGUGACCUUCAGAAGCUGCUUCCCCCUUGAACACUCAGUUUCCUCAUCUGUCAAAGGUCAGGUCAGGCUCCUCGAGACUCCCCUCGCCUGACACCACAGCCAGUGGCUCCCCAACUGCUUCUGAGCUGAGCCCGAGGCCGCUGAGCCGCAUCUCCCCACUGACUGUGUCCACAGGAGAGGGUCUUGGGCAGCCACGCCUCAGCUGAGGACCCCUGGGCUCCUCUCCCAGCCAGGCCCUUCCCUGUCGGUGCCCAUGGCCGGGCGCCCCAGACCAGGCAGGGGUGGCAUGGAGCUUCUCCCAAUCCUUGACAUCGCAGAUCAGUGUAACAGUAUGUGCCCCGAACACAGGGCUCGAGCACCGGAGAGCAUUCUGGCCCUCAGGUGGAGGAUCCCGAAGGUCGGUGAGCAAGCGAUGACUCGGCCCCAGGCAUGGCCCUGUUCACAUUCAUCCAGAGCUGGAAAAGUCCACCUGGCUGCUGGGUUCCCUGCAAGGCCCCUCAGAGUGUGAGGUCACAGUGGCGGGAGAGCCCAGCAGAGCCAGAGGUGGAGGCAGCAACCCAAGCCCCGUGCCCGGCGUCACACUGUCCUCAGAAGCGGUUUCCAGGCUGGCACCUUCCAGGCCUCCUGGCCCCGAGGCAGGUCCUCAUCCUGUGUCCCUCCCGGGCCAAAGUUUGGGGACUUGGCCAUGCCUUCCGGGGGCGUCUGCCCUCUGGCUACUCAGGAGCCGGAGAGGAUGGUGAGAAGCCCAGUUCACUGAUGGCCCUGGGAGUGGACAGCACCCACGUGGGCACCAGUCCAGACCUCCUAGACUGUCUGCAGUUGGCACUGCCCACCCCUGCCCUCACGCCUGGGACAGCCUGUGGAUGGUCCCUUCUGUUACUCAGCUGUGCUGCCAACAAUGGAAGAAUGAAUGCUAAGUGAUGGGCUUUCUCUGCCCUACGAGGCUGCAGGCAACUGUGAAGAGACCUUGAGGCCAGAGGAGCCCACCUGAGCCUCCACCUGUGGCAAGCAGCCAGUGCCUGGCCUGGGCGAGGAGCGUGGGGUGGGCCGGGCAGGAAAAGCACGAGAGCUUGAGGGUGAAGAUUCAUGUUCGGUUUAGUCCUGUUUGUUGCAGGCUCACCAACUUACCAACAGUCCUAGACCGCUAGACUUCCUUGCUCUUCUCCUGUUAACAGCGUCCUCGAGCUGUAAUUCACAUACACGCGGCUCAGUCCUUCAGUGUUCAGUUCAGUGGUUUGCAGCAGAUACGCUGUGCAGCCUGCACAGUGGUCAGUGCUAGGUCAGCCGUAACUCCUCAGAAAGAAACCCCACUCCCUGGAGCAGCCGUCCUAUCCUUCCACCCCUGCCCCACCCCUAAGCAACCUCUAAUCUCCUCCCCUCUUUAUGGCAUUAGCUGCUCAAGACUUCAUGUAAGUGGCAUUACACAAUAUUUGUC